CUUUAAGAAGCUAUGCCUCUAGCACCGGCCUUUUAAGCCGGAGACGAGAAUAACCCUCUCCUUAAAGC
This 68-nucleotide transfer RNA is filed under the name Nephrurus amyae. RNAcentral's name for it is "tRNA-Lys". The record is from RNAcentral. Lineage: Eukaryota; Metazoa; Chordata; Lepidosauria; Squamata; Carphodactylidae.